RNAcentral lists this small nucleolar RNA (81 nucleotides) under Chinchilla lanigera (long-tailed chinchilla). Its description in RNAcentral is "Small nucleolar RNA SNORA44 (ENSCLAG00000021434.1)". It matches the Rfam family "Small nucleolar RNA SNORA44", at positions 44 to 124 of the family's 131-position model. Rfam says of the family: ACA44 is a member of the H/ACA class of snoRNA that guide the sites of modification of uridines to pseudouridines. The record is from Rfam by way of RNAcentral. Lineage: Eukaryota; Metazoa; Chordata; Mammalia; Rodentia; Chinchillidae.
UACAACUACAUGGGAGAGCAACCUGGAGAGACUUUGACAGCUCAGGUCAAUCCCAAAGCUGUGAUUGCCACUCAUUUUUCU